GCCUUCGUGGUGUAAUGGCCAGCACACUCAACGCUUAAUCCGAAAGGUCCGUGGUUCGAUUCCCGGCGAAGGCG
This 74-nucleotide transfer RNA is filed under the name Stegodyphus mimosarum. It matches the Rfam family "tRNA". From Rfam's summary of the family: Transfer RNA (tRNA) molecules are approximately 80 nucleotides in length. Their secondary structure includes four short double-helical elements and three loops (D, anti-codon, and T loops). Lineage: Eukaryota; Metazoa; Arthropoda; Arachnida; Araneae; Eresidae. The record is from Rfam by way of RNAcentral.